RNAcentral lists this ribosomal RNA (497 nucleotides) under uncultured bacterium. Its description in RNAcentral is "partial 16S ribosomal RNA". It matches the Rfam family "Bacterial small subunit ribosomal RNA", at positions 28 to 507 of the family's 1533-position model. The record is from RNAcentral.
GAUGAACGCUGGCGGCGUGCCUAAUACAUGCAAGUAGAGCGAACAGACGAGGAGCUUGCUCCUCUGACGUUAGCGGCGGACGGGUGAGUAACACGUGGAUAACCUACCUAUAAGACUGGGAUAACUUCGGGAAACCGGAGCUAAUACCGGAUAAUAUAUUGAACCGCAUGGUUCAAUAGUGAAAGACGGUUUUGCUGUCACUUAUAGAUGGAUCCGCGCCGCAUUAGCUAGUUGGUAAGGUAACGGCUUACCAAGGCAACGAUGCGUAGCCGACCUGAGAGGGUGAUCGGCCACACUGGAACUGAGACACGGUCCAGACUCCUACGGGAGGCAGCAGUAGGGAAUCUUCCGCAAUGGGCGAAAGCCUGACGGAGCAACGCCGCGUGAGUGAUGAAGGUCUUCGGAUCGUAAAACUCUGUUAUUAGGGAAGAACAAAUGUGUAAGUAACUAUGCACGUCUUGACGGUACCUAAUCAGAAAGCCACGGCUAACUACGUG